UACAUUAGAUACCCCUGUAGUCCCAGCCGUAAACUAUGCUCGCUAGGUGUCAGGCAUGGCGCGACCGUGUCUGGUGCCGCAGGGAAGCCGUGAAGCGAGCCACCUGGGAAGUACGGCCGCAAGGCUGAAACUUAAAGGAAUUGCGGGGAGCACCACAACGGGUGGAGCCUGCGGUUUAAUUGGACUCAACGCCGGGAAGCUCACCGGAUAAGACAGCGGAAUGAUUGCCGGGCUGAAGACUCUGCAUGACUAGCUG
This 256-nucleotide ribosomal RNA is filed under the name uncultured archaeon. RNAcentral's name for it is "partial 16S ribosomal RNA". It matches the Rfam family "Archaeal small subunit ribosomal RNA", at positions 724 to 982 of the family's 1478-position model. The record is from RNAcentral.